Molecule: long non-coding RNA, 444 nt
Organism: Phyllostomus discolor (pale spear-nosed bat)
Lineage: Eukaryota; Metazoa; Chordata; Mammalia; Chiroptera; Phyllostomidae
Exons: 3
Source: RefSeq, a predicted model, not a curated record
CAGAUGCAGAGGCUCUGGAUCCAGAAGCAGUGACCAACCCAGCAUCCGCAACGCGGUUUCUAAACACCAUUUACUAGUAAAAGCAACCAGGGUUCCUUGGAGAGAAGCGUUUGGUGUUAGACCCAGGGCAGGGAGAAUGCAAGAGGGGGCUAGAACGUCUGCCUUGUGGUGCCAGAAAAUUACGAAAGAGCUCAGUGAGGAGGGAGGCAUGCCAAAAGGCCAGCCUGGCCAGCCUUGGAGGAGCUCCUCAUGGCCAAGGCUGGAACAAUUUGGGCAAGAAAAUGAUAGUUUUAGAUCAUGCCCCAUAGAACAAAAUAAUUUCCCAUCGAAUAACUAAAUGAAUGGUGGGGAAGGGACAGGCUUUUCUUACAGAAGAAGUUUACUUAGUAAACAUAAGAGCAAGGAGGGAACGAGAAAAUCACCAGGAGUCAGACUCCACAGACU